Molecule: ribosomal RNA, 775 nt
Filed under: uncultured Neocallimastigales
Lineage: Eukaryota; Fungi; Neocallimastigomycota; Neocallimastigomycetes; Neocallimastigales
Description: partial large subunit ribosomal RNA
Rfam family: Eukaryotic large subunit ribosomal RNA
Source: RNAcentral
CGUCUAUAUACGUAUAGCAUAUCAAUAAGCGGAGGAAAAGAAACUAACAAGGAUUCCCUUAGUAACGGCGAGUGAAGCGGGAAGAGCUCAAAUUUGAAAUCUUCAAGGUUUUACCUUGACGAAUUGUAGUUUAAAGAAGUGUUUUCUGUUGGAGUUUUGGUAAAAGUUCUUUGGAAUAGGACAUCAUAGAGGGUGAGAAUCCCGUAUUUGACCAUUAUUUUCAGCUGUGUGAUACACUUUCAAAGAGUCGGAUUGUUUGGGAAUGCAGUCCAAAAUGGGUGGUAAAUUUCAUCUAAAGCUAAAUAUUGGCGAGAGACCGAUAGCGAACAAGUACCGUGAGGGAAAGAUGAAAAGAACUUUGAAAAGAGAGUUAAACAGUACGUGAAAUUGUCGAAAGGGAAGCGUUUGACACCAGUGUUGUUUUCUCGAAAAUCAAUUAAAAAUGACCGGAUUUUGUGUUGUAUUGACUUUAUCAGCUUUCUGCACUUUUUUCUUAUCUUUUUUAAUGCACUUUUCGUUUAACAAGUCAACAUCAAUUUCUUUUGUUGUAAAAGAGUCAUUGGAAGGUGGCUUUUCAUUCGGUGAAAGUGUUUAUAGCCUUUGACUUCUGCAAUCGGAGAGAUUGAGGUCUGCAGCGUAGAUCCUUCGGGGUUAGAUACAUUUGUGCUAAGUUAUAGCUUUUCAUAGACAACUUGUUGACUAUGUUUAGUCUUGUAGCUUACUCGCUUAUGCUAUUUUACCUACGCUUAGGAUGUUGAUAUGCAUGACUGAUAUA